This 665-nucleotide long non-coding RNA is filed under the name Mytilus galloprovincialis (Mediterranean mussel). Lineage: Eukaryota; Metazoa; Mollusca; Bivalvia; Mytilida; Mytilidae. The record is from RNAcentral.
ACAUUUAAUUGUCAUAUAUGAUGCAAGUGGCACGUCAAAGGAUAUCUGAAUUCCUCUUUAUAGAUUUGAUCGGUAUUCCAUAAGUUCAUUGUCUGUAAUGUCGUCCAAAUGAAAUUCCGCGUGAACAUCAGACCACUUUUUGAAAGGCUGUAGAUUGCCCGUUUCUUUAUUCACUAUUGUCAUAUAAUCUUGUGAGAGAGAGACAAAUUUACAUUCUUUGUAUAUCAGUAUCGAACCCCAAUUUUGACCGCAUGAAAAACCGAAAACCUUUUCUGUUUUCAUUAUCUCAUCGAAUCUCAAAGACCUUUUUAUCUGUCUUCUGUCAAUCUUGUCAAAAAUUUCUUUAUCGCAAAUUAUAUUGUAUGCAUUUUUAAUCCUUCUGAUGUAUUUGCCGUCUACUAUGAAUUUGCCAAAAUAAUGCACAAUUUAUGUGAAAUUUGCAUUUCCUCUUUGAAUUAAAACUUGUUUUCAGAUGUUGUCGUAUAUGUUCCUCCAUCUCAUUGAUUUUUCUUUCUAAUGCUGCUACUUUCUGCCUAAAUUCUUCCAAUUUACCCAAUGCUAAACCCAUUGAAACCGACCUCUCGAAGUUUCUUUCUACACUUUUGAGUUCCUUUUGACUUGCAAUUAGCACCUCUUUUCCAUCUUCACGACGAAUUCUCCCUAUA